Molecule: ribosomal RNA, 253 nt
Filed under: uncultured bacterium
Lineage: Bacteria
Description: partial 16S ribosomal RNA
Rfam family: Bacterial small subunit ribosomal RNA
Source: RNAcentral
UACGUAGGGUGCAAGCGUUGUCCGGAAUUAUUGGGCGUAAAGAGCUCGUAGGCGGUCUGUCGCGUCGGCUGUGAAAACCCGGAGCUCAACUCCGGGCCUGCAGUCGAUACGGGCAAACUGGAGUGUUGCAGGGGAGACUGGAAUUCCUGGUGUAGCGGUGAAAUGCGCAGAUAUCAGGAAGAACACCCGUGGCGAAGGCGGCUCUCUGGGACGGUACUGACGCUGAGACGCGAAAGCGUGGGGAGCAAACAGG